GAACGGUUAAUAUCGAUCGAACGUGGAGCUCUUUGCUGGCAAAUCGUGGCGCUCGAUGGAGAAACGUCAUCGAAACGCCGGCGUCGAGUUGGAUCCGGAAUCUCACUUACACAUGACACCUCGAGGAUGGUCCCGACUGGAGUUCCGUCUACAAUUCCUCGUAACCGCCCUUCAAGAUAUGGUGCGAUACCCGGAGCAAAGCUAAUAACCAGCGAGUGACGAAAGCAACACCCACUUUUUUCCGAUAUUGCCAACGAGAAACGACGCGAACAACGAGAAUCGAAUAGAUCGACAACCGGAUGUGCGAUAUACCGCAGCGCCGUUCGCGGGAAUAAAGGAAAAGAAGGAUCAAUAAUAUAGUUUAGAAAUGAGAGAGAGAGAGAGAGAGAUAGAGAGAGUAGAGAGAUAUUAGAGAUGCUUCUCUCUCGCUUCACCAUAUUGCGCACCGAUGGACGGCGGAGGGCAAACUGUCAUCUGUCAUGCGCAGCUGUUUUCCCACUCUGCGCUCCGUCACGUGACGCCCCCCACUCCGCGCCCCGUCACGUGACCCGUGAUAGCGUCGCCUGGCGGUCAAAUGUCAACCAGAUUCAAAGUCGCACGCGUCUAGAUGUACUCCUCUUUUUCGUCAUGAUAAUUAUAGACUGAAGAAAAAUGUAUGGAAGAAGAGUUUACGAAAGAUGUGAGAAUUUUGAAGCUGUUUAAUAAUUCAUUGAAGACAUUGUUAUUCAUCAUAUAAAUAUAAAACAUCCAGCAUAUGGCAUCAGCAUUCUAGAAAAAAUUCGAGAAUAAAGGAGACAACCAACGAAGAAUUGUUUAAGUCUGCUGUGGACGACUUGUACAUUAUCUUUACAAAGCUUCUAUCUGUUCUAAACAUGUUGGAAUAUUUGAAACAAGGAUGCGACUACAGAUUCAGCGAUAAGUGUCGAAAAUGAUAUAAAAUUGCCUGUAAUGUGUGUAUUCUGCAAUAUAGACAACUUUUUGCAAGACAAACAGAAAACUAAUUGAGCUGAAAUUAUUGGAGAGACUCGUAGGAAAUGCAUUCACACAUUGUUAACUCAUAUUUUGAUAUCAAGAGUCAUAUAAUUCAAAAAACAUGUGACAACAUUUAACUUGUCAUAAUAGAUUUUAUUAGAAAAUUGGUUUGAAACUGUUGUCAUGUUAGCGGAUAAGAAUCUAUUUUAGUGACUUUUUGGAAACUAUUGCACUCAGUGUGAUGAUGAAAUCUGUAGUGCUAUGAAUAGAAAACAAAAAUUAUCUCUAUUUUCUAUGCCAAGAUAAGGAUCAAUCAUUUAUUCAACAUAAUAACAGCUACAAGAUGAUUAAUGCAUACGACUACCUGUUGAUUCUGCGCGUACGUGACUACCUGUUGAUUCUUCAUGCACGUAACCAUCUGUUGAUUUUGUGCGCAUACAACUAUCCGUUAAUCCAUUGGGAAAACAUGAUUAUUCUUAUUCUCCCAAGCAUCUUGUGGAUUUUCAUCUUCAUCAAGAGAUAUCAGCUUCAGAUAAAGUGUAUUCCAAAGAUUAAACAAAGCGCUCCGAAAUCAUUUGGUCGACUAGCAAGUUGAAGCUGUUUAAGAUGCAUUCGGAUCAUUAACAAGAUGAUAGCGACCAUAAUCAGAAAUACCAAUCAGCUGAUAACGACAGAUCGAUAUAUUUAGCUUUCCUAUUCUUGUAUCAAGGAUAUCGUUACAAAAUUCCAGGAGCAAUGAAAGUAUGCAAACUAUCCAGCAUGGAAAGUUGGGAUAUCAAGAGGAAUCGCGGGUAGGUAAAAUAGUUGUCUUUAAACGGGAUCGCUUCACGGAAAAAUUUCAGAUUCCAUUGUUCCACUGUAUAGUUUAAAAUCGAUUCAAAUUAUUAUUAUUUUACAACAUUAAUAUUUU
This is a long non-coding RNA of Nylanderia fulva, 1882 nucleotides long. RefSeq lists it as uncharacterized. NCBI's taxonomy places the organism in Eukaryota, Metazoa, Arthropoda, Insecta, Hymenoptera, Formicidae. The record is from RefSeq and is a predicted model, not a curated record.